GUAGGUGGCAAGCGUUGUCCGGAAUUAUUGGGCGUAAAGCGCGCGCAGGCGGUUCUUUAAGUCUGAUGUGAAAGCCCACGGCUCAACCGUGGAGGGUCAUUGGAAACUGGAGAACUUGAGUACAGAAGAGGAAAGCGGAAUUCCACGUGUAGCGGUGAAAUGCGUAGAGAUGUGGAGGAACACCAGUGGCGAAGGCGGCUUUCUGGUCUGUAACUGACGCUGAGGCGCGAAAGCGUGGGGAGCAAACAGGGAUUAGAUACCCUGGUAGUCCACGCCGUAAACGAUGAGUGCUAAGUGUAGGGGGGUUUCCGCCCCCUUAGUGCUGCAGCUAACGCAUUAAGCACUCCGCCUGGGGAGUACGGCCGCAAGGCUG
RNAcentral lists this ribosomal RNA (373 nucleotides) under uncultured organism. Its description in RNAcentral is "partial 16S ribosomal RNA". It matches the Rfam family "Bacterial small subunit ribosomal RNA", at positions 527 to 896 of the family's 1533-position model. The record is from RNAcentral.